Molecule: small nucleolar RNA, 106 nt
Organism: Gossypium raimondii (Peruvian cotton)
Lineage: Eukaryota; Viridiplantae; Streptophyta; Magnoliopsida; Malvales; Malvaceae
Rfam family: Plant small nucleolar RNA R71
About the family: R71 is a member of the C/D box family of snoRNAs containing the C (UGAUGA) and D (CUGA) box motifs. Multiple nearly identical copies of this snoRNA have been identified in Arabidopsis, and it is thought to function as a 2'-O-ribose methylation guide for 18S ribosomal RNA.
Source: Rfam
AAACCAUGCAUUGGCAUUUUCUAAUUAACUCCUUGAAUUGCUCUCAUGCUUUAUAUUAGUUUUCAUCCUUAGAUUGCUGAAAGGACGUAAUAUCAUUUCUCAAUUU